AUUGAUACGUAUGAUUUUAUUGACUGAAUAACUGAGUGGUUAUUGCUAGUUGAAAACUUUACCCAAUGCCCCGCCAUGUUGUGAUGUAAAUCGCGACAUCGGCAAUUUUUGGAAACCGGAAACGGU
Orchesella cincta is the source of this 126-nucleotide small nuclear RNA. It matches the Rfam family "U4 spliceosomal RNA". Rfam says of the family: U4 small nuclear RNA (U4 snRNA) is a component of the major U2-dependent spliceosome. The structure of U4 snRNA from yeast and human has been reported. NCBI's taxonomy places the organism in Eukaryota, Metazoa, Arthropoda, Collembola, Entomobryomorpha, Orchesellidae. The record is from Rfam.